Zingiber officinale is the source of this 694-nucleotide long non-coding RNA. RefSeq lists it as uncharacterized. NCBI's taxonomy places the organism in Eukaryota, Viridiplantae, Streptophyta, Magnoliopsida, Zingiberales, Zingiberaceae. The record is from RefSeq and is a predicted model, not a curated record. The transcript has 3 exons.
UUUCCUAGGGUUUACCCAACCUACCGCACGACGCGACCGACCCACUCCGCCACCAUCCAUUUCCGAGCAGGUUCGAGAUUUCGGAACAAAACCAGUCCUUCGCUUUCACGUGAAGAUAUCUUUCCUCUUUCCCAUGUCACAUCCCUUGUUUCCUAGGGUUUACCCAACCUGCCGCGCGACACGACCAACCCACUCCAGCCACCAUCCAUUUCUGAGAAGGUCUGAGCAGAACAAAGGAACAAAUAUUUAUGGCUACUGGCUCUUCAUCAUCAACAUCUUUCACUCGAAGAUGCAUGAGUGAUGCACAACGUAAAUCUCCCCAUAUAUUAUGUUAUUGUGGGUUAAGAGCUAAUCUUUGGACAUCAUGGAAGGAAACCAAUCCAGGAAUGCGAUUUUUUUCAUGCCCAAAAUUUAGAGAAAGGAGAUGUGACUUCUUCUUAUGGCAUGACCCAAAAUUGUCAGAGAGAACUAAGACAAUUAUUAAUGAUCUGAAGAGGGAUAACAACAAAUUGCAGAGGGAGAUUAGUGAACUGAAGAAAUCUAAUAUGUACAUCGAAAGUACAGUUGAUUGAAAUGGUCUCCAGGAGAAUGUAAACAACUCUGUUACUAUGAAAUUAAGUGAUGAAAUAUGUUUAUGGAAUAGGAAGUUUAGAGUUGCUAUGGCUGUAGUUGUGUUUACUUGGAUUGUGAUGAU